Molecule: unclassified non-coding RNA, 395 nt
Filed under: soil metagenome
Description: partial contains 5.8S ribosomal RNA, internal transcribed spacer 2, and large subunit ribosomal RNA
Rfam family: 5.8S ribosomal RNA (bases 1-122)
Source: RNAcentral
GAUGAAGAACGUAGCGAAAUGCGAUACUUGGUGUGAAUUGCAGAAUCCCGUGAACCAUCGAGUCUUUGAACGCAAGUUGCGCCCGAAGCCAUCAGGUUGAGGGCACGUCUGCCUGGGCGUCACAUAUCGUUGCCCAAUGCCUAUUGCAGUGCAAUAGGAAUUUCUAGGGCGAAUGAUGGCUUCCCGUGAGCGUUGUUGCCUCGCGGUUGGUUGAAAAUCGAGUCCUUGAUAGGGUGUGCCAUGGUAGAUGGUGGUCGAGUUAGAACGAUACCGAUCAUGUGCAUGCUCCCCAAAAUAUGGCCUCUAUGACCCACACGCGUCUUUUGACGCUCAUGACGAGACCUCAGGUCAGGCGGGGCUACCCGCUGAAUUUAAGCAUAUCAAUAAGCGGAGGA